AGAUGUGAGGGCCGAUCUGGCUGCAACAUCUGUCACCCCACUGAGCGCCAGGGUUGAUUCAGCUGAUCUGGCUGACUAGGCAGGUGUCUCCUUCCUCCCUCACCGCUCCAUGUGAGUCCCUCCGGAAGCUGAGUUCUGGGUGGAAGAGGACGAGGGCCUUCAGAGAAUAGAGACAGACCAGUCUUUGGUAGAGGGUAUAGGAGUAGUUGCGCUCCCCUGCUACAACCCCCAAACAAGCUCUCAAGACAGUAUUUCCUCGAUAAUAACCUUUAGCUGAGGCACAUAAGGAGACAAAAACAAUGAGCAUAAUAAAAGUCUGACAAUUAUACUGAACGGUACUU
Unclassified non-coding RNA from Erinaceus europaeus (western European hedgehog), 341 nucleotides. Its record names the gene 7SK. It matches the Rfam family "7SK RNA". Rfam says of the family: 7SK was discovered as an abundant small nuclear RNA in the mid-70s but a possible function has only recently been suggested. Two independent studies have found that 7SK RNA binds the CDK9/cyclin T complex (known as elongation factor P-TEFb). P-TEFb activates transcription by phosphorylating the C-terminal domain of RNA polymerase II. The record is from Ensembl. NCBI's taxonomy places the organism in Eukaryota, Metazoa, Chordata, Mammalia, Eulipotyphla, Erinaceidae.